Molecule: non-coding RNA, 107 nt
Organism: Glycine max (soybean)
Lineage: Eukaryota; Viridiplantae; Streptophyta; Magnoliopsida; Fabales; Fabaceae
Source: Rfam
AGUGCAAUGAUGAGACGAAACACACAAGUGUGUUUGGGUAGUGGACGUUGCCUUAUGGUUUCGCCGUGAGCUCACAUUUUUAACGACUUCUCCUUCCACUGAGCACU